UGGUGUUUGGACGAGCUUGUGAAGAUCAUGGAGGCCGCCAAGGACAAGCGUGUACACCACCACCAGACUUUUCCCGUUUUCUACAAAGUAUCUCCCGACGAAGUCUCCGAUCAGUCAUCGGGAUGCUACAAGAAUGACUUCGAUCUGCACAAGAGAAAGUUCAGCUACGAGCGAGUGGACAAUUGGCGCCACGCACUUACUUCAAUUGCCGAUGUUUCCGGCUGGGUUCUUGGCCCCAAUGACCACAGGUAAAAUAGAAACUAAUCAGCAAGCAGAAAUGAAAUUUGAAAUUACAAGAAGCUUAUUGGUUUGAAAUAAUGUUGGUGCAGAUCUGAAGCAGAAAUGGUUGAAACUAUAGCCAACGACAUAUUAUUGAAGAUCCAGCAGCAGGCUCCGUCAACGACGGAGGGAGAGUCGAAUCAGAAUGAACGGCCCGUGUUCGUUCCUGCUUUCCAGGCGCCGGAAAGAGCAUUUAAUGAUGAAACGACUGCUACUGCAGGAGACGAGCCAGCUUCUUCUUCAUUCCCUGUAAGUACAACAGUAGCGUGAAAACUAUGCAUGUGAUCAUUGGCCUAUUAUUACAUGUUGCUUUUGUUACUUUGUGUGUCUGUAAAUUAAAUAUGAACUAUAUGAAUUUUCUCUUCAACCCUAAUUGUACGUUUAUUUCUAGAAGUCAAACCUACAUGAUUAACAUUUUGGUAUAUUACAUAUAGUUCUGUUUAGGUACUUAUAAAUUACCUUUUGAGCAAGUCGGGAAUGAAUCUAUUGCAAAUAUAUAGCAACUCAACUAGUAUAUAGUAUCUAUUAUCAUUUUAAUAAUUAUUACAGUAAUAUUCAUAACUUCAUUAAUUAUCAAUUUAGUGAAAUACUUACAACAAAUACAUAGCAAACUAGUUAAAUCACAAUCCCUCCACCCUUCCCGUCAUAUAUAGUUCCAAAUUUUAAAAUUUGGAGAAUUGAUGACGGUAGCUAGACUGAACUAGUUGUCUCAUUGUCACAUGAACAGGACGACAUUACCGUUGACCAAAGCUAUGAGGAGUAUGAGGAGGCGGCUUCAAAAGAUGUAGACGACAAUCAUGAUAGAGAUUCUGAUAAUUACAAGAGGAAGCUGUGGACGUCUAGGAGCUGUACGACCAACACCUGCAACAACAACAACGAUCAUACUCAUCGCGAUCAUGAUGAAGGCGAGCAGAAACUGAAAUACAUAAAACCGAUAGUCUCACCGGAAGGGAAAAAGACAGUCCGAAUCCCCAAGGUCGUCGCUGAAGAAGAAGUCAAAAGGUACUGGGACCUAUCUUUAGUCGCCCAGCAGUUAUCCGGGCGUCAAAACAUAACCAUCAUCCUCACGGAAGCUAAUAGGCUGUGGAACAAGAUAUCGGAGGCAAACAAGGAGGGCAUAACAGGGGUGAAAGUAGUAGCAACAAGAAAAGGCUCAUUAUCUUCUUACAUAUUCACCUUCUCCAACCAAGACCUCCGCGACUGGGUGGUGGAGUCAUCCCCGUGGUGCAUCGCUAACGCCACUUUUGUUAUGAGGAAAUGGCAGCCGAAUGUGCAGCUCUCCGACCUGUUGGACCGUUCAACCAUUCCGAUGUGGGUUAGGCUAGUCGGGAUUCCUAUGGAGUACAUGACUGCCAAAGGGUUGAGCUACGUAGCCAGUGCGCUUGGGAAGCCUGUUUACAUGGACAGAGCUACUGCCACCCGAUCUCGGCUAGCUUUUGCUAAAGUUUGUGUGGAGAUGAAGCUCAACAAGGAACGUUUCACAAGUAGCAUAGUGGUUGCCAUUGGAGAUCAGGAUAAAAACGAAGAAGGAGGUGGGGAAGAAGAAGUUGUGGUGCUAGUUGUGAGGGUCUUCUACCAAUGGAAGCCUUGUAUGUGCAUUAUUAAUCCUUCCCACAAGCCGACGACCACCUCAACGACGACUUCUUCUUCCUAAAUUAUUAUUAAAAUUACGUAAAGAUAAUUGCCACAUUUUCUCCUCCACACAUACACAAAGACGACGACUUUACAAAAGACAAACUAUAUGGAAGGUUCCUCCGAUGUCAAGUGUUUAUUUUUCAGUUAUGGCCUUUUAAUUUAAUUUAAGUCAAGUGUCUACUAUCUAGAGAGUCUUGUGGAGCUACUGGUUAUGCAUGUAUCACGUAUGUAUAUAUGUCUUGAGUCGAGAUCUUCAGACUGUAAUAUACUCUUUUAUGGUUUGUUUUCAGCAUACAAAUUCACCAAGGAAACUGUCGUAUAAUCCAACCGUAGACUUUUCCGUCCCACUUUCAAGGCACUACUACUACUGGCCACGGGCAACAAUGGAAUUAGGAAAUAAAAAAAAGGUUGUAA
This 2328-nucleotide long non-coding RNA is filed under the name Linum usitatissimum (flax). Its description in RNAcentral is "long non-coding RNA (LUSI_LNC004566)". Lineage: Eukaryota; Viridiplantae; Streptophyta; Magnoliopsida; Malpighiales; Linaceae. The record is from RNAcentral.